RNAcentral lists this unclassified non-coding RNA (259 nucleotides) under uncultured Ascomycota. RNAcentral describes it as "sequence contains 5.8S rRNA gene, ITS2, 28S rRNA gene". The record is from RNAcentral. Lineage: Eukaryota; Fungi; Ascomycota.
AACGCACAUUGCGCCCUUCGGAAAUUCCGGGGGGCAUGCCUGUUCGAGCGUCAUUAAACCUCUCAAGCACUGCUUGGUAUUGGGUCGUCCCGCUCCCCGCUACUCCGGGGAGCAGGUGCCCAAAAUUCAGGGGCGGUCCGGGGAGACUUCAAGCGCAGUAACUGCAUCCGCUUCGAAAGCUUCCCCCCGUGGCUUGCCCAGCGAACCUCUCGUUUCUAGAAUUGACCUCGGAUCAGGUAGGGAUACCCGCUGAACUUAA